GACGAACGCUUGCGGCGUGCUUAACACAUGCAAGUCGAACGGAAAGGCCCUGCUUUUGUGGGGUGCUCGAGUGGCGAACGGGUGAGUAACACGUGAGUAACCUGCCCUUGACUUUGGGAUAACUUCAGGAAACUGGGGCUAAUACCGGAUAGGAGCUCCUGCUGCAUGGUGGGGGUUGGAAAGUUUCGGCGGUUGGGGAUGGACUCGCGGCUUAUCAGCUUGUUGGUGGGGUAGUGGCUUACCAAGGCUUUGACGGGUAGCCGGCCUGAGAGGGUGACCGGCCACAUUGGGACUGAGAUACGGCCCAGACUCCUACGGGAGGCAGCAGUGGGGAAUAUUGCACAAUGGGCGGAAGCCUGAUGCAGCAACGCCGCGUGCGGGAUGACGGCCUUCGGGUUGUAAACCGCUUUCGCCUGUGACGAAGCGUGAGUGACGGUAAUGGGUAAAGAAGCACCGGCUAACUACGUGCCAGCAGCCGCGGUGAUACGUAGGGUGCGAGCGUUGUCCGGAUUUAUUGGGCGUAAAGGGCUCGUAGGUGGUUGAUCGCGUCGAAAGUGUAAUCUUGGGGCUUAACCCCUGAGCGUGCUUUCGAUACGGGUUGACUUGAGGAAGUAGGGGGAGAAUGGAAUUCCUGGUGGAGCGGUGGAAUGCGCAGAUAUCAGGAGGAACACCAGUGGGCGAAAGCGGUUCUCUGGGCCUUUCCUGACGCUGAGGAGCGAAAGCGUGGGGAGCGAACAGGCUUAGAUACCCUGGUAGUCCACGCUGUAAACGGUGGGUACUAGGUGUGGGGUCCAUUCCACGGGUUCCGUGCCGUAGCUAACGCUUUAAGUACCCCGCCUGGGGAGUACGGCCGCAAGGCUAAAACUCAAAGGAAUUGACGGGGCCCCGCACAAGCGGCGGAGCAUGCGGAUUAAUUCGAUGCAACGCGUAGAACCUUACCUGGGUUUGACAUGGAUCGGGAGCGCUCAGAGAUGGGUGUGCCUCUUUUGGGGUCGGUUCACAGGUGGUGCAUGGCUGUCGUCAGCUCGUGUCGUGAGAUGUUGGGUUAAGUCCCGCAACGAGCGCAACCCUUGUUCACUGUUGCCAGCACGUUAUGGUGGGGACUCAGUGGAGACCGCCGGGGACAACUCGGAGGAAGGUGGGGAUGACGUCAAGUCAUCAUGCCCCUUAUGUCCAGGGCUUCACGCAUGCUACAAUGGCUGGUACAGAGAGUGGCGAGCCUGUGAGGGUGAGCGAAUCUCGGAAAGCCGGUCUCAGUUCGGAUUGGGGUCUGCAACUCGACCUCAUGAAGUCGGAGUCGCUAGUAAUCGCAGAUCAGCAACGCUGCGGUGAAUACGUUCCCGGG
This 1345-nucleotide ribosomal RNA is filed under the name uncultured bacterium. RNAcentral's name for it is "16S ribosomal RNA". It matches the Rfam family "Bacterial small subunit ribosomal RNA", at positions 28 to 1378 of the family's 1533-position model. The record is from RNAcentral.